This 695-nucleotide ribosomal RNA is filed under the name uncultured bacterium. RNAcentral's name for it is "bacterial SSU rRNA". It matches the Rfam family "Bacterial small subunit ribosomal RNA", at positions 61 to 755 of the family's 1533-position model. The record is from RNAcentral.
GUCGAGGGGUAUUGGUAGCUUGCUACCGAGAGACCGGCGCACGGGUGCGAAACGCGUAUACAAUCUGCCUUAUGCAGGGGGAUAGCCCAGAGAAAUUUGGAUUAAUACCCCAUAGUAUUAUUGGGUGGCAUCAUUUGAUAAUUAAAGAUUUAUCGGCAUAAGAUGAGUAUGCGUCCUAUUAGUUAGUUGGUGAGGUAAUGGCUCACCAAGACAUCGAUAGGUAGGGGUCCUGAGAGGGAGAUCCCCCACACUGGUACUGAGACACGGACCAGACUCCUACGGGAGGCAGCAGUGAGGAAUAUUGGUCAAUGGACGCAAGUCUGAACCAGCCAUGUCGCGUGCAGGAAGACGGCCUUAUGGGUUGUAAACUGCUUUUCUAUAGGGAGAAACCUACCUUCGUGAGGGUAGCUGACGGUAUUAUAGGAAUAAACACCGGCUAACUCCGUGCCAGCAGCCGCGGUAAUACGGAGGGUGUAAGCGUUAUCCGGAAUCAUUGGGUUUAAAGGGUCCGUAGGCGGACUAAUAAGUCAGGGGUGAAAUCCCACAGCUCAACUGUGGAACUGCCUUUGAUACUGUUAGUCUUGAGUUAUAUUGAAGUAGAUGGAAUGUGUAGUGUAGCGGUGAAAUGCAUAGAUAUUACACAGAACACCGAUUGCGAAGGCAGUCUACUAAGUAUAUACUGACGCUGAGGGACG